GUGUCAGCAGCCGCGGUAAGACGAACCGUGCGAACGUUGUUCGGAAUCACUGGGCUUAAAGGGCGCGUAGGCGGGCCAUAAAGUCAGGGGUGAAAUCCUCCAGCUUAACUGGAGAACUGCCUUUGAUACUGAUGGUCUCGAGUAAGGUAGGGGCAUGCGGAACUGAUGGUGGAGCGGUGAAAUGUGUUGAUAUCAUCAGGAACUCCGGUGGCGAAGGCGGCAUGCUGGACCUUCACUGACGCUGAGGCGCGAAAGCUAGGGUAGCGAACGGGAUUAGAAACCCCGGUAGUCC
Molecule: ribosomal RNA, 292 nt
Filed under: uncultured bacterium
Lineage: Bacteria
Description: partial 16S ribosomal RNA
Rfam family: Bacterial small subunit ribosomal RNA
Source: RNAcentral